GACGAACGCUGGCGGCGUGCCUAAUACAUGCAAGUUGAGCGCUGAAGGUUGGUACUUGUACCAACUGGAUGAGCAGCGAACGGGUGAGUAACGCGUGGGGAAUCUGCCUUUGAGCGGGGGACAACAUUUGGAAACGAAUGCUAAUACCGCAUAAAAACUUUAAACACAAGUUUUAAGUUUGAAAGAUGCAAUUGCAUCACUCAAAGAUGAUCCCGCGUUGUAUUAGCUAGUUGGUGAGGUAAAGGCUCACCAAGGCGAUGAUACAUAGCCGACCUGAGAGGGUGAUCGGCCACAGUGGGACUGAGACACGGCCCAAACUCCUACGGGAGGCAGCAGUAGGGAAUCUUCGGCAAUAGACGAAAGUCUGACCGAGCAACGCCGCGUGAGUGAAGAAGGUUGUCGGAUCGUAAAACUCUGUUGGUAGAGAAGGACGUUGGUGAGAGUGGAAAGCUCAUCAAGUGACGGUAACUACCCAGAAAGGGACGGCUAACUACGUG
Molecule: ribosomal RNA, 497 nt
Filed under: uncultured bacterium
Lineage: Bacteria
Description: partial 16S ribosomal RNA
Rfam family: Bacterial small subunit ribosomal RNA
Source: RNAcentral